Molecule: long non-coding RNA, 524 nt
Filed under: Rattus norvegicus (Norway rat)
Lineage: Eukaryota; Metazoa; Chordata; Mammalia; Rodentia; Muridae
Description: long non-coding RNA NONRATT013356
Source: RNAcentral
AUGUUGGAGGGCCACCUAGAAGAAAUGGCAAAAGGAAAUGUUUGCAGAAGAUAUGCAUGUCCUUAGUGUUGGUGGAUGGAGCGAGCAGGCUCUUCCUGAUCGUGUACCCCUGAAGAACCAGGCCAGCAGCAGUGGAGAGAAGCUGUAACUGGAGUUGAGAUGUAGGGACUCUGCUUAGGAUGUGAAAAGAACAUAGAUAGGGCUAUAGUGUGGUGAGCCGAUAAAGGGAAUCCAGGACCUAGAAUCCUCCCAGAUGUUCACUGCUUCCUGUGCCCUCUUCCUCCAAGACCCAGACCAGCUGAGCUUUCAGCUCCGUAGAAGAACCCAGAGAAAAGAGGUGUACAUUUUGGAACGGGAAAGGAAGACGAACACGGAUGCUGGGUGUCAGGCAGUCCUGGCUGCAUGCUGGGCCGCGCUCUGCUGCUGCUGCCUCCUGGACAGCUUGGACUGAGUAACCAAGACCCAGUUCUCUCACAGCCGCUGCUGUUCCCGCUGCUGGAAUAAACAACUAGUGUUACACAAGU